UUCCACAGCUACUGGUCUACAGCUGCUCUUGGUAGUGGCAGCUGUGGCAUUCCUCUGUGGGAAAGAAACUGUUAACACGAUGAAACACCUCUUUCUUAGCAAAACAGAAAGUAGGUUUGUGUGUGUGACGGACACAA
Molecule: small nucleolar RNA, 137 nt
Filed under: Carlito syrichta (Philippine tarsier)
Lineage: Eukaryota; Metazoa; Chordata; Mammalia; Primates; Tarsiidae
Description: Small nucleolar RNA SNORA41 (ENSTSYG00000023214.2)
Rfam family: Small nucleolar RNA SNORA41
About the family: ACA41 is a member of the H/ACA class of snoRNA that guide the sites of modification of uridines to pseudouridines.
Source: Rfam by way of RNAcentral